Molecule: long non-coding RNA, 413 nt
Filed under: Mus musculus (house mouse)
Lineage: Eukaryota; Metazoa; Chordata; Mammalia; Rodentia; Muridae
Description: predicted gene 28793
Source: RNAcentral
GGAGGCUCCUGGGCCCGGGCUGCCCCAGGCAGGCUGGCCUUUAAGGGCGGACCCCUGUCGCCCAAAGGGAGUCGUUCUCCCCUCGCCUCUUUUCUUACCUAAACCCAUCCCUACACACACACACACACACACACACACACACACACACACACACACUCACACAGCUUGGCGUGUUGUUUAAAACAGGUGGAAGACCUCUGUAAUGAUAUUAUGCCUUUCAAUAAAAAUUUUAUGAGGUGUAUUUGAUUAUAGAUUAAUGUGUCCCUAAUAAAACGGACGGAUGGAGCAGCUCGGAGUGCCCCUCCCUCUACCGCGCUCACACUCCCGGGGCAGCCACAUGUCCUUGAUCCACCCCCUUUCCAGUUUUCCCCUUGAGAGGUAAGGCCGGGCAGCCUUGAAUCUGAGAGAAAUGC